RNAcentral lists this ribosomal RNA (362 nucleotides) under Camposicola altifrons. Its description in RNAcentral is "partial large subunit ribosomal RNA". The stretch from base 214 to 362 matches the Rfam family "Bacterial large subunit ribosomal RNA", at positions 2473 to 2620 of the family's 2925-position model. Lineage: Eukaryota; Metazoa; Arthropoda; Arachnida; Opiliones; Gonyleptidae. The record is from RNAcentral.
UUUUUUAAUUGGAAACUGGUAUGAAGGGUAGAAACUAAUAGGAUUGUUUUAUUUCAUGAUUUUGAAUUUAAAUUAAAAGUAAAAAUGCUUUUAUUAAUCCUUGGGACGAGAAGACCCUAGAAGUUUGGAAUUUUUAAUAGUUUUUAAUUGGGGCAAUUAGUGAAGAUAGAAAUUUUUAUUUUUAUUUAAUAUAUUUAUAUAAAUUACUCUAGGGAUAACAGCGUUAUUUAGUUAACAAGUUCUUAUUAAUAACUAAGCUUGCGACCUCGAUGUUGAAUUAAUUUAUAGUUUUUGAUGGAGUAAUUAAAAAUUUAUAGUCUGUUCGACUAUUAGAAAAUUACGUGAUCUGAGUUCAGACCGGA